RNAcentral lists this ribosomal RNA (274 nucleotides) under uncultured bacterium. RNAcentral's name for it is "partial 16S ribosomal RNA". It matches the Rfam family "Bacterial small subunit ribosomal RNA", at positions 523 to 796 of the family's 1533-position model. The record is from RNAcentral.
AUACGGAGGGUGCGAGCGUUAAUCGGAAUUACUGGGCGUAAAGCGUACGUAGGCGGUUGGUUAAGUUAGAUGUGAAAGCCCCGGGCUUAACCUGGGAACUGCAUUUAAAACUGGCGAACUAGAGUUGAGUAGAGGGGAGUGGAAUUUCUGGUGUAGCGGUGAAAUGCGUAGAGAUCUGAAGGAACACCAGUGGCGAAGGCGACUCCCUGGACUCGAACUGACGCUGAGGUACGAAAGCGUGGGUAGCAAACGGGAUUAGAUACCCCAGUAGUCC